Molecule: ribosomal RNA, 526 nt
Filed under: uncultured bacterium
Lineage: Bacteria
Description: bacterial SSU rRNA
Rfam family: Bacterial small subunit ribosomal RNA
Source: RNAcentral
GAUGAACGCUAGCGACAGGCUUAACACAUGCAAGUCGAGGGGCAACGGGACGUAGCAAUACGUUGCCGGCGACCGGCGGAUGGGUGAGUAACGCGUAUGCAACCUACCCACGACAGGGGGAUAGCCCGUUGAAAGACGGAUUAAUACCCCAUAAAACAGGGUUCCGCAUGGGACUAUUUGUUAAAGGGUUCUCCGCGAGGGGGACAUCGGUUGUGGAUGGGCAUGCGUUCCAUUAGGCAGUUGGUGAGGUAACGGCUCACCAAACCGACGAUGGAUAGGGGAACCGAGAGGUUGGUCCCCCACACUGGUACUGAGAUACGGACCAGACUCCUACGGGAGCAGCAGUGAGGAAUUUUGGCAAUGGACGGAAGUCUGAACCAGCCAAGUCGCGUGAAGGAAGGCGGCCCUAAGGGUUGUAAACUUCUUUUAGUAAGGGAAUAAAGUGCGUUACGUGUAGUGCAUUGCAAGUACCUUAGAAUAAGGAUCGGCUAACUCCGUGCCAGCAGCCGACGGUAAAAUGCGUACU